RNAcentral lists this ribosomal RNA (617 nucleotides) under Sterigmatomyces halophilus. RNAcentral describes it as "eukaryotic LSU rRNA". It matches the Rfam family "Eukaryotic large subunit ribosomal RNA", at positions 65 to 666 of the family's 3401-position model. The record is from RNAcentral. Lineage: Eukaryota; Fungi; Basidiomycota; Agaricostilbomycetes; Agaricostilbales; Agaricostilbaceae.
CAAACGGGGAUUCCCCCUUAGUACGGCGAGUGAAGCGGGAAGAGCUCAACAUUGUAAUCUGGCUGCUUCGCAGUCCGAGUUGUAGUCUAUAGAAGCAUGAUCCGCGCCGGCCCUUGGGCAUGUCUGUUGGAACGCAGUGUCAAAGAGGGUGAAAAUCCCGUACAUACCAAGGACGACCGUGUGCAUUGUGGUCUGCUCUCUAAGAGUCGAGUUGUUUGGGAAUGCAGCUCUAAUUGGGUGGUAAAUUCCAUCUAAAGCUAAAUAUCGACGAGAGACCGAUAGCGAACAAGUACAGUAAUGGAAAGAUGAAAAGUAGCCUGCAGAGGCAAUGAAACAAUACGUGAAACCGUUUGUAGGGAAGCGAUGGAACCUUUUCACGCUGCGAGGGUUCAGCUUGGCUUCGGCUUAGUGUAUUCCCUCGUUUUGCGGACCAGCAUCAGUUUGCUUCGCAGUAUAAGGGUGAUUGGAACGUGGCUUCUCCGGAAGUGUUAUAGCCUUUCACUGGAUGCUGUGUCGCAGACUGAGGACUGCAGUGCGCCGUAAGGCAUGGUCUUCGGGCCACGAGCACUUAGGAUGCUGGGCGAAUGGGUUUCAACGACCCGUCUUGAAACACGGAC